RNAcentral lists this ribosomal RNA (515 nucleotides) under uncultured bacterium. Its description in RNAcentral is "partial 16S ribosomal RNA". It matches the Rfam family "Bacterial small subunit ribosomal RNA", at positions 28 to 523 of the family's 1533-position model. The record is from RNAcentral.
GAUGAACGCUGGCGGCGUGCCUAAUACAUGCAAGUCGAGCGAAUGGAUUAAGAGCUUGCUCUUAUGAAGUUAGCGGCGGACGGGUGAGUAACACGUGGGUAACCUGCCCAUAAGACUGGGAUAACUCCGGGAAACCGGGGCUAAUACCGGAUAACAUUUUGAACCGCAUGGUUCGAAAUUGAAAGGCGGCUUCGGCUGUCGCUUAUGGAUGGACCCGCGUCGCAUUAGCUAGUUGGCGCGGUAACGGCUCACCAAGGCAACGAUGCGUAGCCGACCUAGGAGGGUGGUCGGCCACACUGGGAUUGAGACACGGCCAAGACGCCUACGGGAGGCAGCAGUAGGGAAUCUUCCGCAAUGGACGAAAGUCAGACGGAGCAACGCCGCGUGAGUGAUGAAGGCUUUCGGGUCGUAAAACUCUGUUGUUAGGGAAGAACAAGUGCUAGUUGAAUAAGCUGGCACCUUGACGGUACCUAACCAGAAAGCCACGGCUAACUACGUGCCAGCCGCCGCCGUAA